UACGUAGGGGGCAAGCGUUGUCCGGAUUUAUUGGGCGUAAAGAGCGUGUAGGCGCCAAGCAGGUCAGCUGUGAAAACUCGAGGCUCAACCUCGAGACGUCGGUUGAAACCGCUUGGCUAGAGUCCGGAAGAGGAGAGUGGAAUUCCCGGUGUAGCGGUGAAAUGCGCAGAUAUCGGGAAGAACACCCGUGGCGAAGGCGGCUCUCUGGGACGGUACUGGACGCUGAGACGCGAAAGCGUGGGGAGCGGAACAGG
This 254-nucleotide ribosomal RNA is filed under the name uncultured bacterium. RNAcentral's name for it is "partial 16S ribosomal RNA". It matches the Rfam family "Bacterial small subunit ribosomal RNA", at positions 524 to 776 of the family's 1533-position model. The record is from RNAcentral.